GAUUCAAUGCGAUAGCUUCGGUUGACUACAGCCUUGAAAAGGCUGGCGUCGGCGGUUCGAUUCCGUCCCUGGCCGCCA
This 78-nucleotide transfer RNA is filed under the name Terriglobia bacterium. Its description in RNAcentral is "tRNA-Phe". Lineage: Bacteria; Pseudomonadati; Acidobacteriota; Terriglobia. The record is from RNAcentral.